Molecule: ribosomal RNA, 305 nt
Filed under: uncultured bacterium
Lineage: Bacteria
Description: bacterial SSU rRNA
Rfam family: Bacterial small subunit ribosomal RNA
Source: RNAcentral
GCCUACGGGGCGCAGCAGUGGGGAAUAUUGCACAAUGGGGGAAACCCUGAUGCAGCAACGCCGCGUGGGUGAAGGAGCGUUUCGGCGCGUAAAGCCCUGUCAGCGGGGAAGAAGAAAGACGGUACCCGACCAAGAAGCCCCGGCUAACUACGUGCCAGCAGCCGCGGUAAUACGUAGGGGGCGAGCGUUAUCCGGAAUUACUGGGUGUAAAGGGAGAGUAGGCGGCAAGGUAAGCGAUAUGUGAAAGCCUUAAGCUUAACUUAAGGAUGGCAUAACGAACUAUCUAGCUAGAGUACAGGAGAGGA